RNAcentral lists this transfer RNA (72 nucleotides) under Fukomys damarensis (Damara mole-rat). It matches the Rfam family "tRNA". Rfam says of the family: Transfer RNA (tRNA) molecules are approximately 80 nucleotides in length. Their secondary structure includes four short double-helical elements and three loops (D, anti-codon, and T loops). Further hydrogen bonds mediate the characteristic L-shaped molecular structure. tRNAs have two regions of fundamental functional importance: the anti-codon, which is responsible for specific mRNA codon recognition, and the 3' end, to which the tRNAs corresponding amino acid is attached (by aminoacyl-tRNA synthetases). tRNAs cope with the degeneracy of the genetic code in two manners: having more than one tRNA (with a specific anti-codon) for a particular amino acid; and 'wobble' base-pairing, i.e. permitting non-standard base-pairing at the 3rd anti-codon position. The record is from Rfam by way of RNAcentral. Lineage: Eukaryota; Metazoa; Chordata; Mammalia; Rodentia; Bathyergidae.
UUGGGUGUAGCUCAGUGGUGGAGCACAUGUUUAGCAAGUGUAAAGCCCUGGGUUCAAUUCUCAGCACUGACU